This 356-nucleotide ribosomal RNA is filed under the name uncultured eukaryote. RNAcentral describes it as "LSU rRNA". It matches the Rfam family "Bacterial large subunit ribosomal RNA", at positions 2124 to 2478 of the family's 2925-position model. The record is from RNAcentral.
UUUGACCGAUCUGUGUAGGAUAGGUGGGAGGCUUUGAAACCGGGACGCUAGUUUCGGUGGAGCCGUCCUUGAAAUACCACCCAGGUUUGUUUGAGGUUCUAACCUUGGCCCGUGAAUCCGGGUCGGGGACAGUGCAUGGUAGGCAGUUUGACUGGGGCGGUCUCCUCCCAAAGUGUAACGGAGGAGUUCGAAGGUACGCUUGGUACGGUCGGACAUCGUACCUAAAGUGCAAUGGCAAAAGCGUGCUUAACUGCGAGACCGACAGGUCGAGCAGGUGCGAAAGCAGGACAUAGUGAUCCGGUGGUUCUGUAUGGAAGGGCCAUCGCUCAACGGAUAAAAGGUACUCUAGGGAUAAC